RNAcentral lists this transfer RNA (86 nucleotides) under Aidingimonas halophila. RNAcentral's name for it is "Modicisalibacter sp. YIM 90637 tRNA". It matches the Rfam family "tRNA". From Rfam's summary of the family: Transfer RNA (tRNA) molecules are approximately 80 nucleotides in length. Lineage: Bacteria; Pseudomonadati; Pseudomonadota; Gammaproteobacteria; Oceanospirillales; Halomonadaceae. The record is from Rfam by way of RNAcentral.
GCCCGGAUGGCGAAAUUGGUAGACGCAAGGGACUUAAAAUCCCUCGGAGAUUGCUCUCCGUGCCGGUUCAAGUCCGGCUCCGGGCA